RNAcentral lists this ribosomal RNA (442 nucleotides) under uncultured bacterium. RNAcentral describes it as "partial 16S ribosomal RNA". It matches the Rfam family "Bacterial small subunit ribosomal RNA", at positions 28 to 507 of the family's 1533-position model. The record is from RNAcentral.
GAUGAACGCUGGCGGCGUGCCUUAUACAUGCAAGUCGAGUGGGUUUAGACCCACGGCAAACGGGUGAGUAACACGUAGGUACUUUCCUUGUCACAGGAAUAACCCUCCGAAAGGAGGGCUAAUACCUGAUGUGAUCGCAAGAUUAAAGGGUAUCCGCAAGGAUUACCGGACAAGAAGAGGCCUGCGGCCUAUCAGCUAGUUGGCGGGGUAAAUGCCCACCAAGGCUAUGACGGGUAGCUGGUCUUAUGAGGAUGAUCAGUCACAUGGGCACUGAGACACGGGCCCAACUCCUACGGGAGGCAGCAGUAGGGAAUUUUGCGCAAUGGGCGAAAGCCUGACGCAGCGACGCCGCGUGCGGGAUGAAGGCCUUCGGGUCGUAAACCGCUUUUAUAAGGGACGAACUUUGACGGUACCUUAUGAAUAAGGGGUUGCUAACUCUGUG